AACGCGAAGAACCUUACCCAGGCUUGACAUCCCUGGAAUUUCUCCGAAAGGAGAGAGUGCCUUUACAGGAAUCAGGUGACAGGUGAUGCAUGGCCGUCGUCAGCUCGUGUCGUGAGAUGUAGGGUUAAGUCCCUCAACGAGCGCAACCCCUAUAGUUAGUUGAAUUUUUCUAGCUAGACUGCCCUGGUAACAGGGAGGAAGGAGGGGAUGAUGUCAGGUCAGUAUUUCCCUUACGUCUGGGGCUACAAACACGCUACAAUGGCCGGUACAAAGGGCAGCCAAGUCGCAAGACGGAGCAAAUCCCAUCAAAACCGGUCCCAAUUCGGAUUGCAGGCUGAAACUCGCCUGCAUGAAGCUGGAAUCGCUAGUAAUGGUAGGUCAGCACACUACCGUGAAUACGUUCCCGGGCCUUGUA
Molecule: ribosomal RNA, 415 nt
Filed under: uncultured Candidatus Saccharibacteria bacterium
Lineage: Bacteria; Candidatus Saccharimonadota
Description: bacterial SSU rRNA
Rfam family: Bacterial small subunit ribosomal RNA
Source: RNAcentral